AGUAAUGUUUACAAACUAUCAUCUUCUUCGCUGUCUCACUUCGGAUUAAAAGACAAUUUCUCAAAUCUCCAUUAAAACACAAAGGCUUUUUUAUUUCUAUAUUCAGUUAUUAAACCUUCAGUCAAAUGUAUUGUUGAUCUGUUCGCACACACAAACAACAUAGAUCUCAGCAACCACCACUUAACCCUCUAUAAAAAAAACCACCACCAUUUCAAUUGUUUACUUUUAUAUACUUCAAUUCACCAAAAGCAAACCCUCUAUAACACACACACAACAGUAACAAACAUAGAUCUCAAACAAAGCGGCAGAUCCGAAGGCGGAUUCGUAGUGGUGAGUUGUUGAUCAUGCCAUUUGUUUCUCCUGGAGUUCGAGUCUUAAGGCUUCAGUCGUGUGGUCUAGACUACUUUCAUAAAUAUUUGUACAUACAACUCUGUCUUCUUAGGAGCGACAUUUUGCGUCAAAGGAAGAUUUCAUGCUUAUCUCGCGAAAUACACCAAGAAAACUGUUAAGCUCUUGCUGGAGACAAGGAAGCGUCUUUUCGAAAAUUCAUGCCGGAAGCAGGUAAGUACCUCCUCAAGCUGUAUGACAGCUUUCAGUUUUUCGUUGGGAAGAGCUAUUAUGACCGCUAUUAUGACCCUGACUGCUACGACGGAGAUGGAUUCAAGCAAUACCAUAUUGCACUACCUUAAUUUGCUUGAUGAUGAUGAUGAUGAUGAUGAUGAUAUGAUGAUGAUGAUGAUGAUAUGUGAUUUGCGCAAAGAGAGACUUUGGUGCUUAUCUCGAGAAGUACUCCAAGAAAACUGUUAAAACCCUUGCUGGAGACAAGAGUUUUUUGGAAAUAACAUGCUGUGGAGCUAAGUACCUUCUCAACUUGUUCGAUAGCUUCAAGUUUUUCUUUGGGGAGAGCUAUGACGAUGCAGAAUGCUAUAACGAAGAGAUCUUGAGGACAAUCGUAUGUUCCUACAACAAGGGGGGUUAUGGUGAACCAACCUUUUUGUACUUGGGCGAGGGCUUGAAGGAACAAAAGGUCAGAAGCGGGAAUAUUGGAUGAAGUAUGGUCUUUUAACUUUGUAUUAUUUAGCAUUAUUAAUUGGAAAACGAUAAAUAGACCUAAAGAUAUGCCUAAAAAUCAACCUAAAACUCUAAAUGUGUAUUCCACUAAUUCUCUUUCCUAA
Erigeron canadensis is the source of this 1175-nucleotide long non-coding RNA. RefSeq lists it as uncharacterized. The transcript has 4 exons. Lineage: Eukaryota; Viridiplantae; Streptophyta; Magnoliopsida; Asterales; Asteraceae. The record is from RefSeq and is a predicted model, not a curated record.